Molecule: ribosomal RNA, 907 nt
Filed under: uncultured Planctomycetales bacterium
Lineage: Bacteria; Pseudomonadati; Planctomycetota; Planctomycetia; Planctomycetales
Description: bacterial SSU rRNA
Rfam family: Bacterial small subunit ribosomal RNA
Source: RNAcentral
AGAGUUUGAUCCUGGCUCAAAUGAACGUUGGCGGCGUGGAUUAGGCAUGCAAGUCGAGGGAGAACCCGCAAGGGGGACACCGGCGAACGGGGUAGGAUCACGUAGGUGACGUACCCCCAGGGCGAGGAUAGCCACGGGAAACUGUGGGUAAUACUCGAUAACCUUCCCGAUCAUGAUCGAAUGGGAAGCAAUGGGUGUGAUUCCACCUGGGGGGCGGCUUACGCAGUAUCAGCUAGUUGGUGAGGUAACGGCCCACCAAGGCUAUGACGCUUAGGGGGUGUGAGAGCAUGGCCCCCACCACUGGCACUGAGACACUGGCCAGACACCUACGGGUGGCUGCAGUCGAGAAUCUUCGGCAAUGGACGAAAGUCUGACCGAGCGACGCCGCGUGCGGGAUGAAGGUCUUCGGAUUGUAAACCGCUGUCAGAGGGGAUGAAGUAUACGAGAGCUAUCUCUUGUAUUUGACAGAGCCUCAGAGGAAGCACGGGCUAAGUUCGUGCCAGCAGCCGCGGUAAUACGAACUGUGCGAACGUUAUUCGGAAUCACUGGGCUUAAAGGGUGCGUAGGCGGUUUUCUAAGUCACGUGUGAAAUCUUCCGGCUCAACCGGAAAACUGCGCGUGAUACUGGAGAACUUGAGUGAGGUAGGGGUGUGUGGAACUUCCGGUGGAGCGGUGAAAUGUGUAGAGAUCGGAAGGAACGCCAGCAGCGAAAGCGGCACACUGGGCCUUGUCUGACGCUGAGGCACGAAAGCUAGGGAAGUGAACGGGAUUAGAUACCCCGGUAAUCCUAGCCGUAAACACUGAACACUGGAGGAAGGGGGUUUCGGCCUUCUUUCUCGUAGCGAAAGCGUUAAGUGUUCCGCCUGGGGAGUAUGGUCGCAAGGCUGAAACUCAAAGGAAUUGACGG